Molecule: long non-coding RNA, 1275 nt
Organism: Phyllostomus discolor (pale spear-nosed bat)
Lineage: Eukaryota; Metazoa; Chordata; Mammalia; Chiroptera; Phyllostomidae
Exons: 2
Source: RefSeq, a predicted model, not a curated record
UUUAAAGUUCUCACGUGAUUCCAACUUGCGGUCAGGGCCGGAAACCUAUGCUUUAUGAUGUUUUAUCCUCCAGCGGGGCUUGAGUCGCUGGCCUUGGUGCUGAAUCUCUUCCCGCCACAGGCUGCUCUCAGGGUGUCCCCACUUCCCACUGGGCUCUGCCAAAGUCACAAGCAGCAGUUUCAAAAACGCUGAUGCAUGGAAGAAGCAAUGUCCUAGCUCACUCAGAGUGAUUAGGUGGAAAGAUCAGCAUUUCACUGCAGCUGCGUCCACCUCCCCAGACAGCCAAUUAGCUGCAGAAACAGCAGAUACUGCCUAACGGAGCUCUUCCAGGGCUGAGCUUUUAAUGCCCAAAAGAGCAUUAUGUAGCUAAACAACACUAUAUUCACAUCAAACAAAAGCAUCUUGCUUUAGGUUACAGUAUUCGGUUCCUGGAGAAAGACGGCUUUGCCUCGGACCUGGAACUCCGCAGCACCUGGAGAGGAAGGAGGAGCCUGCCUGACAUUCUGGGGAUGCAGCCAGCGGCAGAGGAAGGAGCAUUAGACCCACAGUCAGAAGAUGUGGGUUUGAAUUUCUACUUUUGCCUAGCAGCAUGACAUUGCAAUUAAUCCAGCAGGUGGUCAAUUCCUUCUCUAUAGAACAGACAUAAAGAUGAAUACCAUAAUCACGCUCUAAUUAUGUUGUCACUAUGUGACGUAAUGCUUGUAAGUAUAUCAACAAAAUCAGGGAUGCAGAGUUGACUGCUAGAAAAGAGAUUUGUGUGUUUGUGUCGAUGGUCUGAAACCAGGCCCCCCUUUAUGCCUCUUUAGUGCCCCAUCUCACUGAUGUGGGGGAGCAGUGAACACUGAAGCGGGGCUUGCAGCCACCCUCAGCUGUGACACGGGCAGUGAAGGGGAGGAAACAGGAGGUAGUCCUGGUGGUGCCAGGGGACAGGCGGGCGAGGCCCAGCAGUCAGUGGUUCAGCAAGUCCGGCGGGUGACUGGGAUGCACACCAGCAUCUGGAAAACGCUGCCCUGGAGAACUCCACUGCAUGGAGACCCACCUUCUGCUUAGCCAUUCUGUUAUAGCAGUGUAUUCCAGUUCCUCUACAUCCUCACCAACCUGGGGUUGACAACCUGAACUUGCAUUCUUCUGGUGACUAAUGAGGUUGAGUGUUUUUAUAUGUUCAGUCUCUGUGAGGAUAUUCUUUAUAUAGUACCCCUCAAGGUUUUGCACAUGUUUAUAGAAUUCUUUUUCCAAUUAAUUUUGCCAUUACUGAAUAAAUAUAUUAUAAAUAUA